AUGGCGGGAGUACUGGUUGACGUUGUGCUUGAGCGUUUGGCUACGCUCGCCCUUGACAAGGUCGAACGAGAGUUGAAGCUGGUUGGAGGAGUUAAGCAGGAAAUCAAAAAUCUCACCAAAAAACUCAUAGCUAUUCGGGCGGUGCUGGAGGAUGCAGAGCAGAGGCAAGUGAUGGAAGCCAGCGUCAAACUUUGGGUGGAUGAGCUAAAUGAUGUUUCCUUCGACAUGGAUGACGUGCUGGAUGAGUGGAUCACUAGAGUUGAGAAGCAUCAAUUGGAGAAACAAGCAACGGAAGGUGCAAAUGCUGUUGUGGCUACUAAGAAGAAGGUAUGCUUCCCCUUUCCCCUCUCUUGCUUUCGCUUCGGCCAAGUCGAUUAUCAGUUAUUUCUUCGUCGAGAAAUUGCUUUGAAGAUAGAAGAACUGAAUGAAAGAUUAGCUCUAAUUGAUGAAAGAAAACAAAGUUUUGGCUUUCAAAACAUCCUAAGGGCAGUUCCCCCCGAACUGUCUCAAAGACGAAAAACUACUUCUCUUCCCAAUGUCAAAACAUUUGGUCGAGAUGAUGAAAAAAACCUCAUAAUUAGCAAGCUGCUAAGUGUGAGUAAUGAAGGAAAGAAAGUUCCUCUCAUCAUCCCUAUUGUAGGGAUGGGGGGAAUGGGGAAAACAUCUCUUGCCAACUUAGUCUAUAAUGACGAUAAGAUCAAAUCUUACUUUGACAAGAGCAUAUGGGUAUGUGUCUCAGACCCUUUUGAAGAGAUCAAAAUUGCUAAAGCUAUUAUUGAAGUUCUAGACAAAGAAAGCACUUCAAAAAACUCAGAUGAGUUGGAAACUUUGAUGCAAUGUAUAUUUGAAUUGAUUAAGGGGAAAAAGUUCCUCCUUGUUUUAGAUGAUGUUUGGAGCCCAAAAUCUCAUCAAUGGGAAGAAUUAGUCAAACCUUUUAAGUAAUGGUGCUACAGGCAGUAGGGUCUUGGUGACCACUCGAAAUGAAAACGUUGCUACUUUAAUGAAGGCAACAACCCAAAUGAUCCUUUUGAAGGAGUUAGGUGAACCAUUUUGUUUGUCAUUAUUCUAUUACCAUGCAGAAGUGGAUGAGAGUAGUGUGUCUAAAGAGUUUUCUCAUAUUGGGUCAGAGAUUGUGGAAAGGUGCAAUGGGUUGCCUCUUGCUGCAAAGACAUUAGGAAGUUUGAUGCGAAGUAAGAAGAAGAUCCAUGAAUGGCAAGCUGUUCUAAAUAGUAAGACAUGGGAGUUGAAAGAGAUUGAACAUGAUGUAUUCCAACCUUUAUUACUAAGUUAUCGUGAUUUAUAUCCACCAAUCAAACGUUGUCUUUUAUAUUGUCUCUCAUUUCCAAAAGAUUACAUAUAUAAUAAGAAUACUUUGAUUGAGUCAUGGAUGUCACAAGAUUAUCUAAAAGUGAAUGGAAGUAAAGAAAGGGAAAUAAUUGGUCAAAAUUAUUUUGACGAAUUAGUAAAGCGCUCGUUUUUUCAAGAUGUUGAGGUAGAUCUUCCUGAGUAUGGAAACAUAAGAUGCAAAAUUCAUGAUUUUGUACAUGACUUUCUACAAUAUGUCACCAACAAUGAAUAUUUGAAUUUUGAUUCUAAGUUGGAGCCCAAUAGUGAUGAGGAGGUGCCAUAUGAUAAAGUUCAUCAUUUGACCUUAAUGGAUCCAGUCACGGGUUACUCUAUGCACCGUAUUCUCCCCAACUGUAAAAGAUUACGUACCAUAAGAGCGAUAGAUGGAUCCCAUUAUUCCAUUGAUCUAAUAUUUCAGUUGAUAGUUGAACUGAAAAGCCUUAGGACAUUAGCCUUGUGUAGCGUGUCGAAUGAUAUUCCAUAUGCAAUCGAUGUUACUCUCGAAAUUCCCAAGAUGAUAGGUGGAUUGAUACAUUUGAGGUAUCUUGAUUUAUCCGGUAACGGUGAGUUGAAAGAGUUACCGAGCGUCAUGGGUAGCUUAUACAAUCUGCAAACCUUGAAACUUGUUGGUUGCUGGGGACUCGAGGAAAUAGAUGUGGGAAGGCUGAUUAACUUGAGGCAUCUUUAUGUAAAUAAAUGUAGCGAGCGUGUGUUGAUUAAAGGGAUUGAGAAAUUAAAACAUAUGCAAACGCUAGAUUGGUUUCCUGUCGUACGCUGCUACGACAUGGAUGAAGGAAACAAGUGGGAACAACUGAAAGACGUGAACCAGCUUCAGGGGAGUCUCAGUAUUUACAUGAAGCAUAGUAGAAAGAUGGCGAAGAAUGCAGCAGUUAUGGUGAAUAAGUCUCGCCUCUUGGAACUGAAACUAGAGUUCUACUGGAAUGUAGCUGAAGAAAGAGAAAUUAUGAAUGGGUUAGAGCCGCAUCCAUGUUUGGAAUCUUUAUCCAUCGAUGGUUAUGGAGGCGACGCCUUCUCCGAUUGGUUCUCGUCUUUACACUGCUUGAGAGUCCUCUCCCUUAUUGCGUGCCGACACUGUAAGAUUUUGCCCCCUUUAGGAAAACUGGCAUCCCUUGAAUCAUUACAUAUUCAGAUGCUCGGUCGAGUCUCAAAGGUAGGAGUUGAGUUUUUGGGAAUAGAACAAGGGCAAACCUCGUCGUCUUCGUCUUCCAUUUUCGUAUCAUUCCCCAACCUCAAACUACUUACCAUCAGUCUCAUGGACUCGUGGGAAGAGUGGGAAGGAGUGGAAGAGGAGAAUUCUGCGAAUAUUACAAUCAUGCCAUGCCUUGAGCAGUUGGAAAUUGGUUACUGCGAUAAGCUAAAAGCACUGCCGGACUUCCUGUGGAACACACCACUACAGAAAUUGGAGAUCCGCAAUUCUCCAAUACUAAAAGACCUGUACACACAAGAAAUAGGUGAGGCCAAGAUUUCUCACAUCCCAAACAUCCAGUUAAAACAGGAGGCUUCAGAAACAAGCACAUUUUCAAGAGGAAAGGCCUUGUCUAAUGGUUUAUCAUAUAUUGUUAACCUGGCACGUACGCAUGUCUUCAGGACUGUUUUCCAAUGGAUGUCAGGAUUGGAGGGCACAACUGUUGUUGGUAUAUAUACCGCAAACAUAAGCAACGAUCUCGUAGACCGUUUUCCGGCCAUGAAAGGCCCCGCCCCUGACAUACAUCUGGUAGACCGACAUCCGGGCUACCUCGCCAUGGUGAAAGAUCAUCGGUACCACAUCGGGAAGGUGCUCUCCCAAGCUCUACAAGAAGGCAUCUUGAUAAUAGUUAUAUGCAUUUUGUCCCACAUUGAAAUUGAUGCAAUGUAUGAGGGGAAUGAGACCAUCGAUAGCAAUUUGACCGGGCUGCAAGCUUCUGAUGUUUUUGUAGAUAAGAGACCACAAGAUCAUCCAGAGACGAGCAUCGCUUUAACUUCAAAUGGGCUCAUUAUCAGUGAUGAUGGCAAUCUUCAUUCACUAAUGUUGAGCUAUGCUGCAAAGGUACCUGAUGUUGGGAAAGAAGUGGCUGCCUAA
This is an RNA transcript of Fragaria vesca subsp. vesca, 3427 nucleotides long. It is a transcript of the gene named putative disease resistance protein RGA3-like, with no coding region annotated. The transcript is spliced from 5 exons. NCBI's taxonomy places the organism in Eukaryota, Viridiplantae, Streptophyta, Magnoliopsida, Rosales, Rosaceae. The record is from RefSeq and is a predicted model, not a curated record.